GAAGAGGGUGGUCUGUGACCCACAUGUGCUAGCAAGUGACAAAUCCAAAACGACUGACUGACCCCCUGGGCUGUUCUAAGCCAAGUUUAAGCCACCAUUGGUACAUGUGAGACACAGGAAGUGAUGUAAAGAACUGCCUUUAUAUUUCACGUCACUUCCUGUGAGAAGGGUUUUACAGACUUUGGCAGUGGGACUUGACUUGGUGGAGUGUGGGUCCUCAGCCUGCUUCCCUGAACGACCAUGUGAUCACACCUCUAGGCUCUCCCCCAACAUCUCCCAGGGAGGCACUGCCAGGAGGGAUGGGAACUGGAGCCGACCCUUUCUAUGACCACAAAGUCAGCAGGUGGUCUGGACACAGUCAAGCUAAUGGGAAAAGAAGCUUCUUCUCUUCUUCCAGAAGAAUAUCCCUCCUCUUUUCCUCAGCCUCACGCAGCAGCUCCUGUUUCUGGUACCAAACUUCAUCUUCAUCUUUCUGUCGCUGUAUUUCAGCUUCCAUUUCAUGGAUUGCCUGCC
This is a non-coding RNA of Monodelphis domestica (gray short-tailed opossum), 513 nucleotides long. The record is from RefSeq and is a predicted model, not a curated record. NCBI's taxonomy places the organism in Eukaryota, Metazoa, Chordata, Mammalia, Didelphimorphia, Didelphidae.